GAAUUAUUGGAAGACAUGAUUAGUCAGGUUCAUAGAGACUCUCGAAAAAGGGUAUACAUUAUUCAGUAUAGUGUUUGGCACUGCAGGGGGGGGGGGGUGCCUUUCUUAAGCUACCAGCUAACUGUCUAUAGUCCGGACUCUGAUUGGUUCAUCAACGCCAUGCGCCAGUCUGGGCAUCAUUUUCUAUGAGGAAUUACACCUUUUCUUAUCUGUGGAUCCCUACCAUCAAGCUGCUGCUCUGCGUCCAAAGAAUGUCACUGUCGAUGGUCAUGGUGGAGGGAUCCAUUA
This is a long non-coding RNA of Halichondria panicea, 288 nucleotides long. RefSeq lists it as uncharacterized. The transcript has 3 exons. NCBI's taxonomy places the organism in Eukaryota, Metazoa, Porifera, Demospongiae, Suberitida, Halichondriidae. The record is from RefSeq and is a predicted model, not a curated record.